CUAACUGGAGGACCGAACCGACUAAUGUUGAAAAAUUAGCGGAUGACUUGUGGCUGGGGGUGAAAGGCCAAUCAAACCGGGAGAUAGCUGGUUCUCCCCGAAAGCUAUUUAGGUAGCGCCUCGUGAAUUCAUCUUCGGGGGUAGAGCACUGUUUCGGCUAGGGGGUCAUCCCGACUUACCAACCCGAUGCAAACUGCGAAUACCGAAGAAUGUUAUCACGGGAGACACACGGCGGGUGCUAACGUCCGUCGUGAAGAGGGAAACAACCCAGACCGCCAGCUAAGGUCCCAAAGUCAUGGUUAAGUGGGAAACGAUGUGGGAAGGCACAGACAGCCAGGAUGUUGGCUUAGAAGCAGCCAUCAUUUAAAGAAAGCGUAAUAGCUCACUGGUCGAGUCGGCCUGCGCGGAAGAUGUAACGGGGCUAAACCAUGCACCGAAGCUGCGGCAGCGACACUAUGUGUUGUUGGGUAGGGGAGCGUUCUGUAAGCCGUUGAAGGUGUAUCGUGAGGUAUGCUGGAGGUAUCAGAAGUGCGAAUGCUGACAUAAGUAACGAUAAUGCGGGUGAAAAACCCGCACGCCGGAAGACCAAGGGUUCCUGUCCAACGUUAAUCGGGGCAGGGUGAGUCGACCCCUAAGGCGAGGCCGAAAGGCGUAGUCGAUGGGAAACAGGUUAAUAUUCCUGUACUUGGUGUUACUGCGAAGGGGGGACGGAGAAGGCUAUGUUAGCCGGGCGACGGUUGUCCCGGUUUAAGCAUGUAGGCGGGAAGUUUAGGUAAAUCCGGACUUCUUUUAACGCUGAGGUGUGAUGACGAGGCACUACGGUGCUGAAGUAACAAAUGCCCUGCUUCCAGGAAAAGCCUCUAAGCAUCAGGUAACACGAAAUCGUACCCCAAACCGACACAGGUGGUCAGGUAGAGAAUACCAAGGCGCUUGAGAGAACUCGGGUGAAGGAACUAGGCAAAAUGGUGCCGUAACUUCGGGAGAAGGCACGCUGAUAUGUAGGUGAAGUGAUUUACUCAUGGAGCUGAAAUCAGUCGAAGAUACCAGCUGGCUGCAACUGUUUAUUAAAAACACAGCACUGUGCAAACACGAAAGUGGACGUAUACGGUGUGACGCCUGCCCGGUGCCGGAAGGUUAAUUGAUGGGGUUAUCCGUAAGGAGAAGCUCUUGAUCGAAGCCCCGGUAAACGGCGGCCGUAACUAUAACGGUCCUAAGGUAGCGAAAUUCCUUGUCGGGUAAGUUCCGACCUGCACGAAUGGCGUAAUGAUGGCCAGGCUGUCUCCACCCGAGACUCAGUGAAAUUGAACUCGCUGUGAAGAUGCAGUGUACCCGCGGCAAGACGGAAAGACCCCGUGAACCUUUACUAUAGCUUGACACUGAACACUGGUCCUUGAUGUGUAGGAUAGGUGGGAGGCUUUGAAGUGUGGACGCCAGUCUGCAUGGAGCCAUCCUUGAAAUACCACCCUUUAAUGGCUGGUGUUCUAACGUAGACCCGU
RNAcentral lists this ribosomal RNA (1496 nucleotides) under Citrobacter portucalensis. RNAcentral describes it as "partial 23S ribosomal RNA". It matches the Rfam family "Bacterial large subunit ribosomal RNA", at positions 762 to 2236 of the family's 2925-position model. Lineage: Bacteria; Pseudomonadati; Pseudomonadota; Gammaproteobacteria; Enterobacterales; Enterobacteriaceae. The record is from RNAcentral.